UCCAGACUCCUACGGGAGGCAGCAGUGGGGAAUAUUGCACAAUGGGGGAAACCCUGAUGCAGCGACGCCGCGUGAGCGAAGAAGUAUUUCGGUAUGUAAAGCUCUAUCAGCAGGGAAGAAAAAAAUGACGGUACCUGAGUAAGAAGCACCGGCUAAAUACGUGCCAGCAGCCGCGGUAAUACGUAUGGUGCAAGCGUUAUCCGGAUUUACUGGGUGUAAAGGGAGCGUAGGCGGCGCGUUAAGUCUGAUGUGAAAACCCGAGGCUCAACCACGGGAGUGCAUUGGAAACUGGCGGGCUGGAGUGCCGGAGAGGUAAGCGGAAUUCCUAGUGUAGCGGUGAAAUGCGUAGAUAUUAGGAGGAACACCAGUGGCGAAGGCGGCUUACUGGACGGCAACUGACGCUGAGGCUCGAAAGCGUGGGGAGCAAACAGGAUUAGAUACCCUAGUA
Molecule: ribosomal RNA, 448 nt
Filed under: uncultured bacterium
Lineage: Bacteria
Description: bacterial SSU rRNA
Rfam family: Bacterial small subunit ribosomal RNA
Source: RNAcentral